GAUGAACGCUAGCUACAGGCUUAACACAUGCAAGUCGAGGGAACACGGCAUUGGGUGCUUGCACUCUUUGGACGUCGACCGGCGCACGGGUGAGUAACGCGUAUCCAACCUUCCCAUUACUGUGGGAUAACCUGCCGAAGGGCAGACUAAUACCGCAUAGUCUUCGAUGACGUCAUCAGAUUUGAAGUAAAUAUUUGUCGGUAAUGGAUGGCGAUGCGUCUGAUUAGCUUGUUGGCGAGGUAACGGCUCACCAAGGCUACGAUCAGUAGGGGUGCUGAGAGGAAGGUCCCCCACAUCGGAACUGCGACACAGUCCACACACGUACGGGAGGCAGCAGAGAGGAAUAUUAGGCAAUAGACGGAAGUCGGAACCAGCCAAGUAGCGGGCAGGAGGACGGCGCUAGGGGUUGUAAACUGCUUUUGAAUGGGGAUAAAGUAAGGGACUAGGCACGAUUUGAAGGUACCAUACGAAAAAGGACCGGCUAAUUACGUG
Molecule: ribosomal RNA, 492 nt
Filed under: uncultured bacterium
Lineage: Bacteria
Description: partial 16S ribosomal RNA
Rfam family: Bacterial small subunit ribosomal RNA
Source: RNAcentral